RNAcentral lists this transfer RNA (80 nucleotides) under Hyphobacterium sp. CCMP332. It matches the Rfam family "tRNA". Rfam says of the family: Transfer RNA (tRNA) molecules are approximately 80 nucleotides in length. Their secondary structure includes four short double-helical elements and three loops (D, anti-codon, and T loops). Further hydrogen bonds mediate the characteristic L-shaped molecular structure. tRNAs have two regions of fundamental functional importance: the anti-codon, which is responsible for specific mRNA codon recognition, and the 3' end, to which the tRNAs corresponding amino acid is attached (by aminoacyl-tRNA synthetases). tRNAs cope with the degeneracy of the genetic code in two manners: having more than one tRNA (with a specific anti-codon) for a particular amino acid; and 'wobble' base-pairing, i.e. permitting non-standard base-pairing at the 3rd anti-codon position. Lineage: Bacteria; Pseudomonadati; Pseudomonadota; Alphaproteobacteria; Maricaulales; Maricaulaceae. The record is from Rfam by way of RNAcentral.
GCGGGUGUGGCGGAACUGGUAGACGCGCUGGAUUUAGGUUCCAGUAUCUCACGAUGUGGAGGUUCGAGUCCUUCACCGUA